AUGGCAAAUUGUAUACGUACAAAUAGAAUAGCUUUUAAGAAUUCAAAUAGCGUUGAAUUGGAUGAAAUUGAUACCAAGACUAAGAUGUGAAUAAUCAAUGCACUACAUGUAUACGUACAUGAUCAGCUCUUUCUUACAAGGAGGAAUAUCAACAGGCAGUAACGUGAAGUUCUAACUUACGGGUUUUGUUCUCCGCUUUCAUCUCGUUGUUUCGUUUAUCGUGUUAUUGGAUCCGGACUUUCUUCGAAGUGAAGUAAGGUGGAAGGAGAUUAUUUCUUGGCAUAUGAGGUUUAUCAUAUUAAUUAUGGAAGUUCUUGGAUGGGAGCUCUUGAACGACGUGAGGUACAGAUGCUCACGUUGGUAACCCGCCAGGUUAGGAGUCCUAUUCAGCUAUCUUGGAGAGCUCUCUUGUGGUGUAUAUGUAUUUUAUCCAGGGGUACGGCGGGGCCCUGUCCCGUCAUAUGAUACUGUUGUUACUCUUAGAGGUCUGUAGACAUAUGUGUGGGUUGUGUAUCGAUGUUGUUCAGUUGUGUCUAUAUAGCUUAUGUUUUGGGACGUUCCCAUUCGUAGUGGCAGCCUUGUCGGCUUGCGUAGAUAUAUAUAUAUAUAUAUAUAUAUAUAUAUAUAUAUAUGUGUGUGUUUUGAGAAGUAAUGUGUUAUGAUAGCCUUGUCGGCUCGUUUAUAGCGGGGAUGUUCCCUUAUAUAUUAUGAAAGCCUUGUCGGCUUAUGUACUAUAAUGUCUGUUGAAAGUUGUACCUCCCAAGGAGACGGGUUGUUGUGAUACGUCUAAAUAAUGCGACAGUUUUGAGACGA
This is a long non-coding RNA of Lycium barbarum (goji berry), 813 nucleotides long. RefSeq lists it as uncharacterized. The record is from RefSeq and is a predicted model, not a curated record. Lineage: Eukaryota; Viridiplantae; Streptophyta; Magnoliopsida; Solanales; Solanaceae. The transcript is spliced from 3 exons.